Molecule: non-coding RNA, 509 nt
Organism: Schizosaccharomyces pombe (fission yeast)
Lineage: Eukaryota; Fungi; Ascomycota; Schizosaccharomycetes; Schizosaccharomycetales; Schizosaccharomycetaceae
Source: the annotation of a GenBank genome assembly
UCUGUUUUCAUGACCUCAUAUGGAAUUACUCAUGUACUGACUAUACCUUUUUGUGUCAAAUAAUCUCACCCCUCUACUUCUCAUAUUCGUAGUUUAUUUCAAAACUAUUUUUAUCUAUCAUUUAAUACACUUUAUUUACAUUCUCGUUUUCUAAGUACUGGUAUAUUUUAUUGCUCAAUAAAUUUUUGACCGCGGAAAUAUUUGAAAACAACUCACGUUAGGUCUAAACUACUAACAAAACUUUAGUAAUUGUGCUAGCAAAGUAAUUUAAUAGUUAAUAAAAUUUUUGACGUGCGCUAUUUUUCAAAAAUAUAUAUUAAAUUCAUUACUUUGCUUGCAGAUUGUAAUAUGAAACGGUGAAAUAAAUAGAAAAAAUAGGGGAAAUAACCAAUACGAGAUCAAGAAUACUUUGAAAAUAUUAUAAUGACAAUAAAAAAUUGCUUAAAGAAUCGGAGAACGCAAGCUUGAAAUGGAAUUACCACUCAGAUAAAAUUAAAAUCGAUUGAGAG